Astatotilapia calliptera (eastern happy) is the source of this 1566-nucleotide long non-coding RNA. The record is from Ensembl. Lineage: Eukaryota; Metazoa; Chordata; Actinopteri; Cichliformes; Cichlidae.
GUCCCAAUAUGCCCAAAUAUUAAAGAGAAAUUAAAAAUGCAUGCCAUGGAAGAGUUCAGGUCUUAAGGGGGUUAAAGAAAUACAGAUAAAAACCUGUGAAAUAUCAAAACAGAAAAUUCCUUCAUGGAAAAACUGUAGAUUGUACAGUAUUUUUACGGAUUUCUUUUUACUGUGUGUAUGCUGCAAAUAACAGUCUUGCAACUUGCACUGGCCACAAAUUCUGCUUAUAGCUCUUCAUUGUUAUACGUUUUGUGAAAUGGUUUAUGCUCCCUGCUUCUAUUUUCAUACCUUGGUUUCCUUGUGUUUAUGAGUUAUUAUUAUUCAAUAUUGUUUUUCCUCUUUAUUAUGCAUCUCUAUUUUAAAUGUCUCAGGUUUAUUAGUUUACCCUUUAGUGUUCCCUCUUGUCCUUAUACACUCACCUCUGUAUUUUGUAUUUUUUAGUUUCUUCCAUGUUAAGUCUGCCAUGUUUGUUUGUUUUUGUCUAUGUCCAACUCAUGUGUCUUAGUAUGUUAGUGUUUUAUUUUGACAGUCCCCUGUCUCAUGUGCAUUAUUUCAGUUUUACUCCCCCCGUCUCAUUAUGUCUAAUUUGUCCCUACUGUGUUUCCCCGCUGUCUCCACUCCCCUAAUCACCCUCCAGUGUAUACAUUGUAUCACUUUCGCUUUGCCAGCUCAUUUUCCCAGUUUGCCAUUCAUCACUUUCCCAGUUUAGUUCUACUAAUUUGAAAUUCUCAGUUCUUUUAUUUAUUUUAUUUUAUUUUAAUAUUAUUUUUUUUGUUUUUGGAAUAAAUGUCUCACUUUUAUUAAGAUUAAUCCUGUCUUUUUGUAUUUGGGUCUUUUACCUCAGGACUCAGUCUGCACAUCUUACAGACCUAGACACCCAUAUUGAUUAAAAAUUUUUUUUUUUUAAAGUACUAAAUAUCAACUAUAGAUUGGGUUUUUAUAUGAUACUACAUAAAAAUGUUUUUCUUGUCCAUAUUUACUUUUAAAAUGGUAUUCUGAUAAAAAAAUAAUGGAUGUACCUUUUUAUGUUUAAGAUGUUCAUAAAUGGUUGUUGUAAUUACAAAUCUUAAUAAGUACAUACUGAUUGAAAGGAUGUUAUUACAGAUAAAAUCAUGUGUAUUUAAUGCAUAUGAAUAAUAAUUUUUUUGAAACAGCUGCACUUAACAGGAAUAACUACUCAUCUGUGGUCUUACGUAGCUUUUUGACUGUGUCACAUCUGAAAAUACUUAAGCCUGUAAGUUCAAGUAGGAAAAGAUAUCCCAUGAUUUUACACACAAUGUCAUUGCAUUUACUUGUAAGGUGUGUCAAAAACAUCUGUUUCUUCACUGGAGAUGGCAGUAGGCAACAUGCACUGGGGAUACUAUUUGGUAUGCUUAAACAUGGUCAUUGGAGCAUAUAACUUUUUUUAUGUUUUAUUUUGAAAAGCAACAAAAAAGACAUAAAGUUUAAUGCAGGCUGCUGAUAUAUUGUCCUGCAUGUUAAGCUGUAAUAUUCAAAAACAAACUUCAUAGUCAUUCAAGUCCACCAGCAUACAACAGACCCCCACCCCUUCCCUGAGCUAAUAGU